RNAcentral lists this transfer RNA (72 nucleotides) under Camelus ferus (Wild Bactrian camel). It matches the Rfam family "tRNA". Rfam says of the family: Transfer RNA (tRNA) molecules are approximately 80 nucleotides in length. Their secondary structure includes four short double-helical elements and three loops (D, anti-codon, and T loops). The record is from Rfam by way of RNAcentral. Lineage: Eukaryota; Metazoa; Chordata; Mammalia; Artiodactyla; Camelidae.
AAGGGUAUAGCUCAUGGGUAGUGUGCAUGCUUAGCAUGCAUGAGGUCCUGGGUUCAAUCCCCAGUACCUAUG